GCGGAGUAUUUCGAAAGAAAAGGGCCGUUGCGGACAUGGCAAAGAUUUCGAAUCAUAGACUGAUCGAACGGAGUUCGGCUUAUUGUCUAGUGGCGUGCUGAAUCUGACAUCUAUAAUGAGCAUUCAGAGCUACUAGAUGUCCGUCAGGUAAAUAAUAGGAGCGGCCGACGUCGUCGAUGUUUCUUCGGUUAGCCAUUGCAUUAUGAAGUUGUCCCUAGCAGACUACAGACAUUAAGUUUUCAGCCGGAGAAUUCGUGCAGAGAAGAUUUAGCCCUACAUGAAAGGUCGUAGACUUCAACAAUUUCAUACAAAUAUUAUACCGCCCACAAAACCAAACGGGUGCCUGGCUCAAAUGUGAUUUCGUCUCUCGUUUAUACGAACAAACAUCGCAGUCUCGUUUCUCGCGGUGCUCGUUCUUCAUAAUAUCGGUACGGCUGCAACGGGAUGGGCAAGAAUCGACUGAUUUUCUGUGGCACGUUACGUGUCGUCGAUACGCCUGAAACUGUCGGCCUUUUAUAUAUUAAUAUCUGAUCCGAGUUGGUAUUACUAACAUCGCGCUAAGUCAAUAGUGUGUUUUUCCUACUGAUGGGGCAAAUUUAAUAUUGACAAAUAUUUAAUUCACUGCUGUAUUAUCGAUCCGUUUUAUAACUGUGAUUAUGUCAAAACGAAUAGGAACUGCCAUUGCUCAAGCCUGAUAGAUAAGAUAAAGGCCGAACGCCAAACUGGAUGGAUAUGCCUUCUGCCCAUUAUAGUAAAGCUAGAUAUAUUUGAAAUUCUCCUUUAAAUUUGUUGUAUGAAGGCCAGGAUUGAUCAACAGCGAGUUUAGUUUGACUUGCAACCUUGGUUUCAAAGGGCGCAGAGAGAGUUUCCGUGCGGGACUCCUGCGAGUCUGUAUUGCCGCAUAUUAACGAUCUGAUUGACGGAGCAGAUAUUCCUUUGGCAGUAAAAAUAAACCCAACGUAGA
Varroa destructor (honeybee mite) is the source of this 964-nucleotide long non-coding RNA. RefSeq lists it as uncharacterized. The record is from RefSeq and is a predicted model, not a curated record. Lineage: Eukaryota; Metazoa; Arthropoda; Arachnida; Mesostigmata; Varroidae.